Molecule: long non-coding RNA, 2845 nt
Organism: Triticum aestivum (bread wheat)
Lineage: Eukaryota; Viridiplantae; Streptophyta; Magnoliopsida; Poales; Poaceae
Exons: 8
Source: RefSeq, a predicted model, not a curated record
AAAAAUAUCUACAUAGAACUCUCUCUCUCUCCGUGAAAAAAAAGAACUCUCCUCUCCUCCCGUACGAUCCCCACCAGGCUCCUCAUACACAUCCGCCAUUUCUUCCGAUUUGCCGCCGGCGAAGGACGGCGUAUCUGUGCCCCAUCAGGAAACUAAUCCUCACGCUAUCCCAGAUCCACAUGUCGCUUCUUUUCUCCUGAUUUUUCUUCCUUGGUGGUGGCACAUGUGGCUGGGUGAGUGCGUGGAUCUCGGCGAACUCGUCGACUCUGGCAACGCGGUCACGGAGAUGUCCAGUGGGAACGCGGGCUGCGCUGCUCAAACUUGUCGUGCCCGGAGGCUCUGGAUGUUGGGGCCGCGGAGGCAUUGAGGGAGCUCGCGGAGGAAGAAAUAUCUGCAAGACGUGAGUAUCUUCUGUGAGUGGCUGUUAGUUGUUGCCCUCCUGCUGCCUGGACUUCUACCAAAUCACAAAGGGCCACUUUGAGUCGCUUGGUGACAUAAUGAUUAUAGGAGCAUCACCUGCAAACCUACCUUCAGUUUUAGCUCGUGGAUUGGAAUUCCUGGGAAGAUCAUGUUGCUAAGGAACUCUGUUGCACACAUAUUCUCCAUUGUGUUGUAAUUCAUUGUUGCCUUGCACACAGUGUCCAAGUAUAGGAUUGCUCUUUCUUUGAGAAAUUCAUGGUUACGAUAGUUUUGCUGCAAGUUUGGAUCGUAAUAUCCAUUCUGCAAAUUCGGCCACAUUUUGCUUUUCUAUUGGAUCUUCUGACAGACUUUAGCCGCAUGUUUUCAGUUAGUCUAAAUAUUUUGAAGUACUUCCAUAGGAGCAAAGCUGCAACGCCAGAUGAUGCUAACGCAAGAACUUUCUUUCCCUCUGACCGUAGCUUCGUUGUAAUUGCUUUCCAUAGAUAAAUUUUGCCUGUGCCACCGUAGCCUUCUACAAAUAUCUAUUUUCCAAGUCCUUUCGCAGCUGAUUCCAUUAUUGCAUCAAAGGUCAUUUUCUGGCCAUGGUUAACAUUGCUUAUUAUGGUUUAGUGCUCAUUCUUUAGUGCCUCCAUGCCAUAGCUAAGUUUUUCGUUUAUCAUUCUGUUCCCAAGUUCUUCAAGUUCUGUAGCAUUUGGUAGUUCUGUAUCUAGAUAGUCCUUUAGUGUCUUUCCUUCUUGCCUCAUUAGUUUCUCUUUCUCAAUCAGAGCAUAAGCCUUUUUCUAUGAAUCAGUGAGCUGCAGCAUAGGAAAGUUAAGGAUAAUUCUUCUUUUGUACUGGAUAUCUUUAGACAGUGCCUCCCAUGUUGAUUCCCUCAACAUCUUUGGGCUGGUCACCUCACAAUGGCAUAAAAUUGUGGUGAAUAAUUGUCGUAAUUGUGUCCCUGAGCCCCAGCAUUAUGCUUCAUUGAUGCAUUCAAUCCACUCACUGUCGUCAUCAAGAAAUCCAAGCGCUUGGCAUGCUUAUUUGUAUGUUGGGUGAACAACUCCAUUAACGAUUCCAAUAUCCUGAAUGAUGUGCAUCCUUUCUUGGUGUUUAGAAGCAUUCUCAUAUAAUACCGGUUGCCACUUGCAGAGUGUGCAUAGUAGAUUCUUCCAAUAGCGAAGCCCCUUUUCGGCUCCCCAAGUUUUGGUUUCGCUUUUCCAUACAAAUUUUGAUGGGAAUUAUGCAUAGGUUAAUUCUUUUCCCGCCUCAUGUAUUUUGUUUGCCUCCAUCCACUCAGUGAACUUAGUACUCGUGGAUCCUGGCCUUCUACUAUCUUAUCAAUGUCAGUCAAGUCCAGAAAAAUAACUUCUUGAUCAUUUUCAAUGUGGAAUGGUAGUCUCUUGACUGGUGGAUCAUGAUGGUGUGUAGAUCAAACUGGAAUAUCCGCUAGUAUGCUCCAGUUGUUGAUAUGUAUCUCAUCUCUAGGUACUUGAUUGACCUGGGCAUGUUGCACCACUCGACAUUUAUGUGACCUUGGAAUUGACCAAAAGGUUGCGGUUGUAUGGUACGACAAAUCUGUUUUUGAGCAUUGCUCCUCCCUUUUUGAUCUUCCUUCCAUUGUCUCACCUUCUAUAUACUGGAAACCCAUCCUCAUGGAUUGUGGUAUCGACAUUGUAUCCUUUUGGGAAGUGUUUAGUGCAUCUGUUGUCUAUCAUGCAUGGUGACUUUGUAUUUGCCUCUCUGCAAGGCCCGUGCAUCAUGAAAUUUUCAACAGCUUCAUAUCCGUCCGGAUCAACAUCUUUGUCCGAGAUCUCCGCACUGAUUGUUUGGUCGAUUUCUGAUGAUCCUUUGCACAUAUAUCAUAUCUGGGCUAAUAAGCUCAUCAGUGGCCAAAAGUGCUUUGGCGUCACUUCUUCCGAGGUCGAUUGGAGUAGCUGGGCAUGGCUUCGUCAUGCGUUGAGUGUGCUUUGGCGUGACUUCGUCGGACGUAGAGUGAAGCGGCUGGAGGUGGCUUUGCGUAUCAAACGUCGAGUUGCCUAGUUGCAUGUGAUGUCUUCAAGCCAUCUGAGUUGCCGAGUCGCGUGUGAUGUCUUCAAGCCAUCUUGGUUGCCGACUUCCAAAUUUUUGGUGUUGCUUUUGCGGCCGGCUGUACUUGUUUAUAUAUGGGUGGAGGUGCGUGGAUUGAGGUGGCCGAGACCGUGAAAGAAGAUCGGAAACCUGUCUUUUUUUCAUGUCUUGUUUCCUGUUUUGGAACUUCCUCACGUGAGGUGUGGUUAGGUCCAAUCGUUGUCCUUAUUUGUUUAGGUUUCCUACUAUUUUUGCUUCCUUGACCCAUUGAUUAAAAGAUUUUUUUUUUCUGCAGGCUAGUUGAUGAUUUGGAUGGAACCUAUGUGCACUAUUUGUACGUGGCAUGUUAUACUAAUUGUACAUGUACAUAUUUUUA